GAGUCUAUGGUGUAGUUGGUUAUCACGUCUGUCUAACACACAGAAGGGCGGCAGUUCGAUCCUGUCUAGACUCU
This 74-nucleotide transfer RNA is filed under the name Monoraphidium minutum. Its description in RNAcentral is "tRNA-Val". Lineage: Eukaryota; Viridiplantae; Chlorophyta; Chlorophyceae; Sphaeropleales; Selenastraceae. The record is from RNAcentral.